This 437-nucleotide unclassified non-coding RNA is filed under the name uncultured Thelephoraceae. RNAcentral describes it as "sequence contains ITS2". The stretch from base 1 to 155 matches the Rfam family "5.8S ribosomal RNA". The record is from RNAcentral. Lineage: Eukaryota; Fungi; Basidiomycota; Agaricomycetes; Thelephorales; Thelephoraceae.
AACUUUUAGCAACGGAUCUCUUGGCUCUCGCAUCGAUGAAGAACGCAGCGAAAUGCGGUAAGUAAUGUGAAUUGCAGAAUUCAGUGAAUAAUCGAAUCUUUGAACGCACCUUGCGCCCUUUGGCUAUUCCGAAGGGCAUACCUGUUUGAGUAUCAUGAACACCUCAACUCUCAUGGCCUGCCGUGAUGAGCUUGGACUUUGGGGGUCUUGCCGGCCUGACCGUCGGCUCCUCUCAAAUGAAUCAGCUUGCCAGUGUUUGGUGGCAUCACAGGUGUGAUAACUAUCUACGCUUGUGGUUUUCCACCAGGUAACCUUCAGCAAUGGAGGUUCGCUGGAGCUCACAGACGUCUCUCCUCAGGGAGGACAGCUUUUGAACGUUUGAUCUCAAAUCAGGUAGGACUACCCGCUGAACUUAAGCAUAUCAAUAAGCGGAGGCU